This 274-nucleotide ribosomal RNA is filed under the name uncultured bacterium. RNAcentral describes it as "partial 16S ribosomal RNA". It matches the Rfam family "Archaeal small subunit ribosomal RNA", at positions 473 to 747 of the family's 1478-position model. The record is from RNAcentral.
AAACCAGCACCUCAAGUGGUCAGGAUGAUUAUUGGGCCUAAAGCAUCCGUAGCCGGCUCUGUAAGUUUUCGGUUAAAUCUGUAUGCUCAACAUACAGGCCGCCGGGAAUACUGCAGAGCUAGGGAGUGGGAGAGGUAGACGGUACUCGGGAGGAAGUGGUAAAAUGCUUUGAUCUCUCGAUGACCACCUGUGGCGAAGGCGGUCUACCAGAACACGUCCGACGGUGAGGGAUGAAAGCUGGGGGAGCAAACCGGAUUAGAAACCCGAGUAGUCC